Molecule: ribosomal RNA, 35 nt
Filed under: Cyclina sinensis
Lineage: Eukaryota; Metazoa; Mollusca; Bivalvia; Venerida; Veneridae
Description: partial 5.8S rRNA
Source: RNAcentral
ACAGCUCUAUGCGGUGGAUCACUCGGCUCGUGCGU